CCUACGGGUGGCAGCAGUGGGGGAUAUUGCACAAUGGGGGAAACCCUGAUGCAGCGACGCCGCGUGGGUGAAGAAGCGCCUCGGCGCGUAAAGCCCUGUCAGCAGGGAAGAAAAUGACGGUAACUGAAGAAGAAGCCCCGGCUAACUACGUGCAAGCAGCCGCGGUAAUACGUAGGGGGCAAGCGUUAUCCGGAUUUACUGGGUGUAAAGGCGGCGCAGACGGCGAUGCAAGCCAGGAGUGAAAGCCCGGGGCCCAACCCCGGGACUGCUCUUGGAACUGCGUGGCUAGAGUGCAGGAGGGGCAGGCGGAAUUGCUGGUGUAGCGGUGAAAUGCGUAGAUAUCAGGAGGAACACCGGUGGCGAAGGCGGCCUGCUGGACUGCAACUGACGUUGAGGCCCGAAAGCGUGGGGAGCAAACAGGAUUAGAUACCCGGGUAGUC
This 440-nucleotide ribosomal RNA is filed under the name uncultured bacterium. RNAcentral's name for it is "partial 16S ribosomal RNA". It matches the Rfam family "Bacterial small subunit ribosomal RNA", at positions 338 to 795 of the family's 1533-position model. The record is from RNAcentral.